CACGGGGGGGGCAAGCGUUGUUCGGAAUUACUGGGCGUAAAGGGCUCGUAGGUGGCCAACUAAGUCGGACGUGAAAUCCCUCGGCUUAACCGGGGAACUGCAUCCGAUACUGGAUGGCUUGAGUUCGGGAGAGGGAUGCGGAAUUCCAGGUGUAGCGGUGAAAUGCGUAGAUAUCUGGAGGAACACCGGUGGCGAAGGCGGCAUCCUGGACCAACACUGACGCUGAGGAGCGAAAGCCAGGGGAGCAAACGGG
This 253-nucleotide ribosomal RNA is filed under the name uncultured bacterium. RNAcentral describes it as "partial 16S ribosomal RNA". It matches the Rfam family "Bacterial small subunit ribosomal RNA", at positions 524 to 776 of the family's 1533-position model. The record is from RNAcentral.